GAUGAACGCUAGCUACAGGCUUAACACAUGCAAGUCGAGGGGAAACGCCAUCGAAAGCUUGCUUUUGAUGGGCGUCGACCGGCGCACGGGUGAGUAACGCGUAUCCAACCUGCCCAUCACUUGGGAAUAACCUUGCGAAAGUAAGACUAAUACCCAAUGACAUCCCACGAAGACAUCUGAAUGGGAUUAAAGAUUUAUCGGUGAUGGAUGGGGAUGCGUCUGAUUAGCUUGUUGGCGGGGUAACGGCCCACCAAGGCAACGAUCAGUAGGGGUUCUGAGAGGAAGGUCCCCCACAUUGGAACUGAGACACGGUCCAAACUCCUACGGGAGGCAGCAGUGAGGAAUAUUGGGCAAUGGGCGAGAGCCUGAACCAGCCAAGUAGCGUGCAGGAUGACGGCCCUAUGGGUUGUAAACUGCUUUUAUAAGGGAAUAAAGUGGGUCUCGUGAGACUUUUUGCAUGUACCUUAUGAAUAAGGACCGGCUAAUUCCGUG
RNAcentral lists this ribosomal RNA (492 nucleotides) under uncultured bacterium. RNAcentral's name for it is "partial 16S ribosomal RNA". It matches the Rfam family "Bacterial small subunit ribosomal RNA", at positions 28 to 507 of the family's 1533-position model. The record is from RNAcentral.